CCGGAGGAGGAAAAAAUCAAAGUUUCCAAAUCUGGAAACUUUCUCUCUCCCGAGCCAUUUUCUGGGCUCUCUUUUGUCCGGCCAUAUCUUCCUCCACAGACCUCCAAUCGACUUGAUUCCAAAAGAAAAUUUUCUCGUCUUGAAGUCAUUUACAACUUCCCAGAAGAUAUCGAGGUGAAAUACGAACUGUGAAGAGCGCCACAAGGCCGAGAAGCUGCACAGCUCGAGCUGAAAUCUCCCGAGCUGCUCCUCCCUUCGCCGGCUGAUUUCUUCCUCCUCCGGCCACCAUAGGACGCGAUUCAAAGUGGGUUCUCUUCGCCUCAAUCCCCUCUUGAGGUUUGUGGAAGAAUUGGAGCAUGAAACGAGCUGUGGAGGGCGGUGCAAGGCCGAGAUGUUGUACGGUGGAACUGCUAUCGCCUCAAAUCGCCGGGCUUGGUUCUCCCAGCUCCGGCCACUAUAGCUCGAGAUUCUUGAGGGAUUUUCGGCUUUUCUAGCCCAGAAGACGUAGAAGCUAUACCCAAGAAGGCUUGCAGCGAUUCGAUCUGUGGUGAUCGAAUUUUGGAGUUUGUGAAACUAGGGUUUUUCGAAUCCAUUGGCUUGCGAGAAGCUCUCUUUCUAUCAUCCACCAUAUAAUUAUUAAUUAACAAGGUAUGUUGAAGGCUUUACUGUUCUUUUUACUAGUAUUUUCUUAGUGCGUGGGAGGAUGGAGGAAGUAUCUUGGUUUCUAUGGCUUUUUGACCACCAUGACCAUAAUGAUGUCUUUUAACUUUUUCGUAGGCUUGGAGUUCAGUUUUCUCACAACAAAGUUUGAAUGAGGCAAUAGUACCUCUUUGCUUUUAUCUGCUACCAAAGCACUCAUGCUCUAAGUCUCCAACCACAUCAUGAUUCUAUUUGCAAUCAUGGCUGGAUACACCCAAAAACCCAUCAAGUCAUGUUUGUUCACACUUCACACAGUACUUCACAAUAAUUCUAAAUCUACCUAUAUGGCUAUAUCUAUCACUCUCUCGUCUCUCCUAUAACUUCUGAUCACUAAAUUCACAAAGCAAGCCGUAAACAAAAUAGAGAAAGCAAAGACUGUGAAGAAUUGGAAGAGAUGCGAGCUGGAGCAGAGAAAAAGAGUUGAAGACUCAAUACAAUAAUAAGCUUGGUUGAUUUUAAGCUCUACAAGGUAUGUUGAAAUUUAUAUAUAUUGUUGGUUGCAUGAUUUAUAUAUACGAAAAGGUAAUUAUAUUUUAAAUUGUUCCCUUGUUAUGAGAUUUAUUAUUUAUGAAAAUGUCUAGUAAUCAUGUUUUUGUAAUUUAUGAAACUAUUUAGUAUCACUCAGUAGAUAAAAUAUUGUAGUCAGCACUCACUAGAUAAUUUAAUGGAUGUAGGAAGUUAGAAAUAAUUUAAUGGAUGUAGGAAGUUAGAAACAAUCAAAGAUAUUAAUCUUAUUUAGUGCCUACCUAUAUUCCAUACAUAAAUUGUCAAGAUGUGUUCUUCAAUUAGUUUCAAUAGGUAACUACAAUAUGAAUACAAAUUAAGAUAAUAAUUUUAAACGUAAUGAGAACACUUUAGUAGAAAUAAUUUGUUCAUAAAUUUUAGUUUGUUUUUUGUAGUUGUCUAGUUUUUUACAUAAUGGCAAGUUCUGACCCUGUGGGGAGCAAAAAAGACCCAACUUGGAAUUAUGCUUUUCCAUAUCAAGGCCAAACUAAAGGUACAGUAUGCAAGUUUUGUAAUACGGUUAUAAAGAGUGGUGGUAUCACUCGAUUUAAGUUCCACUUGACUGGAUUAGAUCCUGCCAAGAAUACACGAGUUUGUGAUAAGGUGCCACCAGAAGUUCAAAAAUUAGUAAAAGAAUGGAUGAGGAGAAAAUGUACUGCAAAAUAUCAAAAGGAUUCAAUAAUCCGUGAUACUUGAGAAGAAUUGUGAUCAGGGUUAUCACAACAAUUGAACUCUGAAGAUGAAGAUGAAGGUUUUGUAGGUCAGCAUGAUGUAGAUCCCCGUGAUUAUAAAGCUACUAUGAGAGCAUCAAGACAAUCAGAAUGGGAAAGGGAGCAAGGUAUAAGUAGAGGUGUUUCAGGGCCUGGAGGGACAAGUCGAAGCCAACCAAAAUUUGAUAGAUCAAAAAGCGUAUGACAAGAGCAUGGAGACCAACCUCAAGCUUCAUUCCCACAGUCACUCUAUAAAUCCAAUGCUGCAAAACAAAAGAGCAUCAUUGACUCCAUGUCAAUGGGAAGCCUCAAGGAGAAGCUUGGUCGAGUAUGUGGGAAGUUUUUCAUAUAUACCAAUGUCCUUGCGUACAAAGCGGAAUCUCAUGAGUACAAAAACAUGAUAAUUGGAGCACAAGAGUGUCCAAAUGUUCCUCUGCCAAGUUCGUUUCAGAUAAUGAACAAAUAUUUGGCCAUGGAACAUAAGGAAAUAACUGAAUAUAUAAAUAGCCAAAGAAAAAUGUGGAAAACAUAUGGCUGCACCAUAAUGGCUGAUGGGUGGUCCGGUCCAACAAGAAUGCAAGUUAUCAACUUCAUGGUUUACUGUAAGGGUAAGACUGUAUUUUUGAAGUCUGUCAAUGCAUCAAGUGAUAUAAGGGAGCACAAAUACCUUGCCAAGCUAUUUAAAGAUGUCAUUGAUGAAGUGGGGCAGGAGAAUGUGGUUCAAAUAUGUACUGAUAAUGGCUCAGCAUUUGUGAAGGCUGGUUGAUAGGAGUAUUUUAAUGCGACGUUUUAACUGUUAUUUCCCUAUAUUUUCUGCGUUAUUUCCUUAAUAAAACUCUGUUUAGGAAAGUUUCCAUUCUUCGAAUGGGAAAGUUCCUAAUUGUAGAAAG
This is a long non-coding RNA of Rosa chinensis, 2803 nucleotides long. RefSeq lists it as uncharacterized. The transcript has 3 exons. NCBI's taxonomy places the organism in Eukaryota, Viridiplantae, Streptophyta, Magnoliopsida, Rosales, Rosaceae. The record is from RefSeq and is a predicted model, not a curated record.